GACGAACGCUGGCGGCGUGCUUAACACAUGCAAGUCGAACGGAAAGGCCCCUCCGGGGGUACUCGAUCGGCGAACAGGUGAGUAACACGUGAGUAACCUGCCCUUGACUUCGGGAUAACUUCAGGAAACUGGGUCUAAUACAUGAUAGGAAUCCUUGCUGCAUGGUGGGGGUUGGAAAGCUUCGGCGGUUUUGGAUGGACUCGCGGCUUAUCUGCUUGUUGGUGGGGUAGUGGCUUACCAAGGCUUUGACGGGUAGCCGGCCUGAGAGGGCGACCGGCCACAUUGGGGCUGGGAUACGGGCCAGACUCCUACGGGGGGGAGGAGUGGGGGAUAUUGCACCAUGGGCGGAAGCCCGAUGCAGCAACGCCGCGUGCGGGAUGACGGCCUUCGGGUUGUAAAACGCUUUCAGCAGGGGCGAAGCUUGUGGUGACGGUACCUGCAGAAGAAGCACCGGCUAACUACGUG
RNAcentral lists this ribosomal RNA (465 nucleotides) under uncultured bacterium. Its description in RNAcentral is "partial 16S ribosomal RNA". It matches the Rfam family "Bacterial small subunit ribosomal RNA", at positions 28 to 507 of the family's 1533-position model. The record is from RNAcentral.